GUGUGUGUGUGUGUGUGUGUGUGUGUGUGUGUGUGUGUGUGUGUGUGUGUGCGUUUUUCUUCUGUUCUCUGUGUGUUCCCUCACACACUUCUGUUUAAAAUAAUGGAAAUUUAAAUUUUGGCAUUAAAGUGUGUGUUGUGUUUUUUUUUGCUGUAGAAUGUAAAGAUAUUAAUAAUAAAUAAAACAAAUGAAAUUA
Silurus meridionalis is the source of this 196-nucleotide long non-coding RNA. RefSeq lists it as uncharacterized. NCBI's taxonomy places the organism in Eukaryota, Metazoa, Chordata, Actinopteri, Siluriformes, Siluridae. The transcript is spliced from 2 exons. The record is from RefSeq and is a predicted model, not a curated record.